GCUGACGACUGUACCUCUGACCUCCAAAUUCCUUGGAGAACUGGACCGCCUGAACGACGACCUGAUCAGGUUUUUCAUACCAAAGGUGGAGCCACAGGAAGAAAGAUCAGAGCCGUGAUGGCAAAGACGGAUAAUAGUGAAGACAUCAACAUGAGGCGUGAUUGUGUGCUGAGCUGUCUGAACAUCUACCUCAAUGAAGACCUGGACACACUGGUCAAAGAAUAUGUGGUAAGUAUGUCAUACUUCUGUCCUUUGUGCCAGAUGUAAUUAAUUUCCCUCCAGGUCUACCUGAUAACAUGUGGCGUUCAUGAGAAUGGGAUGGACAUUAGGUCACAUUGACCUUGACCACCAGUAGUUUGUCAUUGAGUCCAAUGGGUUGUUUGUUUUGAGUAAGAAAUUCCUUCAAGGCAAUGGUGGUAGUGCUGUCACUUGUAGGAAGCAAAUCCACAUGGUCCGGAGGAGUCUGAGGUUAGGGCUCGGGUCCUGGCACCUAAACGCCUCCAAUAUGCCAGUGACGACAAUUCUGCCCCAAACAAGAAGGAUGCAUGUUGUGGACUGUCUGCUUAUGAACUCAAACGCCUUGAGAACAUCAGAGAGAGGGAAGCCGUCUUGUCUUCCUUGAAGACAAUGCAAGAAGCUGAGGAUCUGAGGAAUUCACUAAAGCCAAAGCCACAUGUCAAGAGGUCAAAGACUUCAUUGGAUAAAGUCUCUUUGGUCUCCCCUGAAAUCAGCACGGAACCUUACCCUCAGAGGAGGACUAACCUAUGAACAUGUAAGUUACUAUCUUAUGUUUCAUGUGCACCAUUAAGAAAUCACUAAAUUAAAGGAUUAAAAGUAUUACUGUUCAGCAAUAAGACACUACAUGCCGUUGUUUACGGCACAGAGUACCCACAAACACAGUAAAAAAGGGCAAUGAGGUUCUUUAACCUUCAUUGUGAUCAACAAUGCUCAAAGACCACUUUUUAUCAUUUUUAAAUAGUUGAUGAUCAUUAAAUGUACAACUCCAUUUAGACAUAAUGUAACUUUUUGACUUUUUUUUUUUGUCUUCCAGGCUUUUAGGGAGUCAAAGAUCUUGAGGCCUUUGCGACCUUGAACUUGUGUCCCUCUCAUUCUCAUGAACACUAUAUCUAAAGUGCCUUAAGGGAAUUUCUUCAAAUAACCACGCACUUGGCCUCAGUGAUGAGCUGCUUAGAAUUUGGUGGUCAAAGGUCAAGGUUAGGGUGACACAGCUCAUUGUUCUCUGUUCCCUCCAUCUUUCAG
Centropristis striata (black sea bass) is the source of this 1260-nucleotide long non-coding RNA. RefSeq lists it as uncharacterized. The record is from RefSeq and is a predicted model, not a curated record. The transcript is spliced from 5 exons. Lineage: Eukaryota; Metazoa; Chordata; Actinopteri; Perciformes; Serranidae.